GAUGAACGCUGGCGGCGUGCCUAAUACAUGCAAGUCGAGCGAACAGACGAGGAGCUUGCUCCUCUGACGUUAGCGGCGGACGGGUGAGUAACACGUGGAUAACCUACCUAUAAGACUGGGAUAACUUCGGGAAACCGGAGCUAAUACCGGAUAAUAUAUUGAACCGCAUGGUUCAAUAGUGAAAGACGGUUUUGCUGCCACUUAUAGAUGGAUCCGCGCCGCAUUAGCUAGUUGGUAAGGUAACGGCUUACCAAGGCAACGAUGCGUAGCCGACCUGAGAGGGUGAUCAGCCACACUGGAACUGAGACACGGUCCAGACUCCUACGGGAGGCAGCAGUAGGGAAUCUUCCGCAAUGGGCGAAAGCCUGACGGAGCAACGCCGCGUGAGUGAUGAAGGUCUUCGGAUCGUAAAACUCUGUUAUUAGGGAAGAACAAAUGUGUAAGUAACUAUGCACGUCUUGACGGUACCUAAUCAGAAAGCCACGGCUAACUACGUG
Molecule: ribosomal RNA, 497 nt
Filed under: uncultured bacterium
Lineage: Bacteria
Description: partial 16S ribosomal RNA
Rfam family: Bacterial small subunit ribosomal RNA
Source: RNAcentral